RNAcentral lists this ribosomal RNA (439 nucleotides) under uncultured bacterium. RNAcentral describes it as "partial 16S ribosomal RNA". It matches the Rfam family "Bacterial small subunit ribosomal RNA", at positions 339 to 795 of the family's 1533-position model. The record is from RNAcentral.
CUACGGGGGGCUGCAGUGGGGAAUAUUGCACAAUGGACGAAAGUCUGAUGCAGCAACGCCGCGUGGAGGAUGACACAUUUCGGUGCGUAAACUCCUUUUAUAUCCCAAGAUAAUGACGGUAGGAUAUGAAUAAGCGCCGGCUAACUCCGUGCCAGCAGCCGCGGUAAUACGGAGGGCGCAAGCGUUACUCGGAAUCACUGGGCGUAAAGAGCGUGUAGGCGGAUAGAUAAGUUGGGAGUGAAAUCCUAUGGCUUAACCAUAGAAUUGCUUCCAAAACUGUCUAUCUAGAAUAUGGGAGAGGUAGAUGGAAUUUCUGGUGUAGGGGUAAAAUCCGUAGAGAUCAGAAGGAAUACCGAUUGCGAAGGCGAUCUACUGGAACAUUAUUGACGCUGAGACGCGAAAGCGUGGGGAGCAAACAGGAUUAGAUACCCGCGUAGUC